This 325-nucleotide long non-coding RNA is filed under the name Brachypodium distachyon (stiff brome). Its description in RNAcentral is "long non-coding RNA (BDIS_LNC000508)". Lineage: Eukaryota; Viridiplantae; Streptophyta; Magnoliopsida; Poales; Poaceae. The record is from RNAcentral.
UGCAGGCGGGGUUGUGCCGAUGUAUUGAAACUUGAUGUACAAUGUUAAAUAUUGAAUAUCUAUCAUGGAUGUAAUAAGUAUUCGUCUUAUUUUUGUAAUAAGUUUUGUGAACGGAUGCUGUUAUCUUCAUGGAUGCGUGAUUUUCUCAUAUAUAUUGUUGUUAUCUAUUGCUGUGCUACGAUAUAUUGCUAUUACAGAAAUGUUCUAAUAUAAAAAAAAUAUUUUAAAAAAACCGGAAAGAACAGUGGCGGUUCAUGUUCACCGCCACUGGUACUCUACCGGUGGCGGUGACAGAGAACCACCACUGGUGCUACGAAAGCAUACC